UACGUAGGGUGCAAGCGUUGUCCGGAAUUAUUGGGCGUAAAGAGCUCGUAGGCGGUUUGUCGCGUCUGCUGUGAAAACCCGGGGCUCAACCCCGGGCCUGCAUUCGAUACGGGCAGACUAGAGUUCGGUAGGGGAGUCUGGAAUUCCUGGUGUAGCGGUGAAAUGCGCAGAUAUCAGGAGGAACACCGGUGGCGAAGGCGGGACUCUGGGCCGAUACUGACGCUGAGGAGCGAAAGCAUGGGGAGCGAACAGG
RNAcentral lists this ribosomal RNA (253 nucleotides) under uncultured bacterium. RNAcentral describes it as "partial 16S ribosomal RNA". It matches the Rfam family "Bacterial small subunit ribosomal RNA", at positions 524 to 776 of the family's 1533-position model. The record is from RNAcentral.